CCCAAUGUCCCUGACAUUCCCGGACAUUCCCUGAAUACUCACAGAGCCGAUCUGAGAAAAUCUGGAUUUUACAACAUCUUGACAGCCGGAUCUAUGCAGAUUACCAUAUUGUAACCUGGUCUUGUUAAGGACCAGAAAAAAAAAAUUCAGAUGAUCAGUAAUAAACAGUCUUUAAACAUUGACUUAAACAUACCAAGUUACUUUGGUUACCACCUGGACUUGCAGAAGUCCAAACUCAGGAAGUGCCUGCCGGGCAUGGCGAGUCACAGCUCUUGCAGGGCCUGCUAGGGAACGCCCUCUUUCUUCUGCUGUGAGCUCACACAAUGUGAGCAAGGGGAAAGGUGGACAGAUGAUGCAGACAACAUAAGGGCCUAGAUUUAACAACAAGGUUUAAAAGCAAAAAAAAAGCAUAAACUGAAACUAGACAAAGAACAGAGCCACAUAAAACUUGAUUCAAACAUCGUCAAUAUUUUGGUGACACAUUCCUUUUAAUUGUUUUGUUAGUGCACUAAUAUAUUUCAGUAGAUCUCUAUGAAGACUCUGGAAAACCAAGAAUAAUAUAUCAACAAAAACAUAUCUACUGGUCAUUUGGUUGGACGUUUUUGUUUGUAUUUCUUUCUUUAUUUUUUGUGUAUAUUAUUAUAAGGGGAAGCUAUAUUGCUUGAGCUUUCGGCACAGCAUUUAGAGGCAAGUUUUACAGCAGUCCCACGAACAUUGGAAACAAGCCACUGGAGGACACCCUACUGACUUCUAUGUGAGAGUUUUCUAGGCAUUCUAUGGAACUUGUUCAGAAUGGUGGAGCCAUGAGCAGCAACUAUUGAUAAUGGCCUGAUCCUAUCUUAUCUAUAUGUUUACUCUUUUAAGUGAACGUCAUUUUAAAGCGCAUCUCGGCAGGCACGUCAUUCACACAGGGCGGCCUUUCAAUCACCAAGCUUUUGAGCAUUUAAAGGGGUAUUACGGGCAAAAACAUUUUAUCACCUAUCCAAAGGAUA
Hyla sarda is the source of this 992-nucleotide long non-coding RNA. RefSeq lists it as uncharacterized. The transcript has 5 exons. Lineage: Eukaryota; Metazoa; Chordata; Amphibia; Anura; Hylidae. The record is from RefSeq and is a predicted model, not a curated record.